GAGCCCUCCAGUCCCUCCCGUCCGCCCGCGCCCCGGCAGUCGGCGCGGGACUUCCCGCUGACAAGGGUCCUUGACUUGGCUCUCAACUCCGUCCCUGAAGUCCCUGAGCGCCCAGAGACGCCCACCUGGCGGCUACAGAGCCCUGGGCGGUGGCCAAACCAUCUCCAAAAUUUUGGGCCACACGUGGGAUGGUAUUCGGGGAUCGGAGAGGUCGCUACUCUACACAAACAGCACACCUGGUCUCAGGGGCCCUGACAAAGUGUGACCUGCACUGGCCCCACCUCAGGGCAGUCGCCCUCACAUCCCCAGACCAGACUGGGCUCAGAGCAAUGUCCUGCACGGCGGGCGUGAGUGAGCGAGCGGGCGUGCCCUCCAGAGGCCUCCGGACGGCGCAAACUGUCUUUUGUUUGGGCACAGAUUCGAGAAUGCUGCAGCCCGGCCUGGAAGAGGGUCUGGAUUACUUUCCCGUUCCUCGUGUUCCUGCAUCUCGAAGGCCUCCCCAGCAUUCCCUGGUGGUUAUUUUGAGUGCACCUGUUCCUGAAACGGCUUGAGAAUCCCACGGACUUGUCGUUAGCAGGCAGGUGCAUCUACAUUGCCAAGUUUAGUUCUCCACCUACUGCGGAUCUGGUGUUCUUGUCUGCUCUCGGCUCCUCCUCUUUUCAGGAAACCGUUCAGCAUUCGCCGAGGGUCUAGGCCUGUGUGGGACACACCGACGGGGUGCGACGGAGUUUUUCUGCAAAGUACACACUUGCGUUGUGGCUACUAGAUUGCAGAACUCUGUCCGGUGCCAAAACAUAGAGCACAGGCAAUGGCUUUGGUUCUAAUACAUGGCCUGCAGAUCUAGAGGAGUCCAAAUCUUCAAGGAAGGAGGAGUGUUUGUUGAGAGUAUGAGUUGGGGGGACAAGCAGACUCCCCGCUGAGCAGGGAGCCCGACUGGGGCUCAAUCCCAGGACCCCAAGAUCACAACCUGAGCUGAAGGCAGACAUGUGUCCGACUGAGCCACCCAGAGGCCCCUGCAAUUUACUCCUACUGAAAAUAUAGAGCCCAAGCCGGGGGAGCUGCAGGCAGAGGGAGAAGCAAGCUCCCCGCUGAGCAGGGAGCCCUAUGUGGGACUUGAUCUGAGGAUCUCUGGAUCAUGACCUGAGCCAAAGGCAGACGUUUAACUGACUGAGCCACGCAGGCGCCCCUCAAUUCAUCUUUUAAACAAUGCUUCAGUAAACACACAGUGGGCACACAGUGGCCCCUGGAAGGCUGGCAGGCUCAGAACUUGGCUCACAGGAGUGCUGCCUGAUGAGGGCCAUAGAGGGGAGCCAGUGGGGGGUGGGGUGCCCUGACCACUCACAGGAGGGCCGGAACAUGGGAUUUGACUUGAGUCCUGAAGAAGAAUCUGCAGAACUUGGUAGGGCAGAUAAGGCAGGGGCAGGACUCAAACACGGCAUAAGCAGGUUCUAGUCCCAUCAGCAGAUCCCACUGGCCUGAUCGUCUAAGUGGAUCCCAGAGUGAGUCCAUUCUGAUCCCCCCAACCACUACCCCAGCCUGGCCCCUGGGCCAGGGAAGUGGCCUCUCACUGGUCUCUGUACUUCUAGCCUAUUCUCCCCAGAGCAGAUGGAAUGAUCCUUAUAAAAGGUAAGACCAGGGACGCUGGGUGGCUCAGUGGGUUAAGCCUCUGCUUUCAGCUCAGCAUGAUCUCAGGGUCCUGGGAUCGAGCCCCCCUCCCCGGGCCCCUGGGUCAGGCUGCCUGCUCAGCGGGGAGUCUGCUUCUCCCUCUGGCCCUGCCCCUAGCCGUGCACUUACUCUCUCUCCAAUAAAUAAAAUCUUUAAAAAUUAAAUACAUAAAAGGUAAGACAAGGUUCCACUUCACCUCAGGAUCCCUCCCUGGCUCCCCAGCUACUCAGAAUUGAGUCCAGGCCUCCGGGGCUCUGUGGGAGCUUGCCGUUUUGAUCCUGGACCGGUCCAUCUCCGGAGGUCCCCCUGCAUCCGCAUCUCCCUUCUCAGCACUUGCCCCAUGCGAAGGCCCUUUUUCCUGCUUCCUGGAUUUACAGUCGGUCUCCCUGCUGGCGCGGAAGCUUCCUGAGCCGGAGUACUUGGUCCCCUUCACUACUACAGCCUCUGCACCUACGACCACGCCUGGCACUGCCAGGAGCUCAGUAAAUACUUGUUUUCUGCAGUUAUUCCCAGUGGGCUGAGCUGAUGAGACGGAGCUGGGUGAAGACAGCCAGCAGGGCGAUAGAAACCGUAUGAAGUUGAAAUGACUUACUUCGGUCCUCGACUGUAUUUAUAGCAUGCGUCAAAACAUCAUUUCUUUCACUUCUGAGAGUUAGGUACCGGCCUUAUCAAUUUGCCUUCACAGACCCUUUCGUUAUGGUAUGCACCAAUAGUCUAAAAUAAGGUUGGAAAGGCAUCGCUUACAGUGGUUACGGUCUGGGGCCCCUGGCUGGUGCAGUGUGUUAAGCAUCAGACUCUCCUUUGGUCAUGAUCCCAGAUGGUGAGUUGGAGCCCAGCACCCGCCCCCCUCCCUCCUCCCUGCUCAAGGUGAGUCUGCUUGGGAUUCUCUCCCCGCCCUUCCAGCUUGCACAUGCGUGGUGCGCGUGCACGUGCGUGCACGCUCUCUCUCCAAUAAAUAGGUAAAUCUUUAGGGAAAAAAUGGUUACAUUUUUAUACACACUUUGUUUGAUUCAGACUUUUCACCCAUUCAGCCCGGCCCUUUCCCCAAGUGCGCCAAAUUGCCACAUCAUCGGACACCGCUGUCAUCAGCGUUUCGUACCAGUGUUAAUUCCUGACCUAGCUGGUUCGCAGAUCAGUGAUCAGAAUGGCCUUGCUGGUUUAGCAGUACAUUUAAAGCAAAUUAUUUGAAGCUUUCCGUUUCUAAAGUUCCUGCUGGCGGAAUCUUUGCUGACUUUCCCCCUCCCCACCAAGAGGAAUUUAUAAAGCAUGAGAAAGGGACACGUUGCCUUGGGAACUGCACGCUGGAGACAGCCUAGGGAUCCCUCCGUCAAGCAUGAGUCGGAAGGUCCCUGCUGCGUCAGGCCCUCUGCUGUGCGUCAAAGGGACACAGAGCCUUCAGGACCUGUCCAGUGGGGAAGAAAGGGAGGGAAAUACAGUGUUCUAGGGAUUCUGUAAUUGUGUCUGUCUUCUGUGGAGCGCAGGUUCAGUGGGCAUAAGCAGAGGUGCCUUCAAAGCAGAAAGGGACAGGAGCCACUGCAGAGGACAACUGGGUUUUGUGGGCGCCCAACCAGGCAACCACUGGGAGCCUGCGUUCCGCUGGCCUCUGCGACCUCGGGUGCUGGGGACCUCGGACCUCGGACCUGGAAUCUUGGGGUGGGAGUGCACACAGCACCCAAGGCAGGUCAGGAGCCCAUUUCCGUUCUAGAGGCUGGGAAGUUCAAGAUCAAGGCGCUGGCAGAUUUGGCAUGGGGGAAGGGCUCUUUCCCUGGUUUUCAGACGGCUGUGUUCUUGCUGCCUUCUCAACAGACCUCACGUCUUUUCUCAUAAGGGCACAAAUCUCCUCAUGGGCUUCCAGCCCCUUUCCUGUCUUCAUCUAAACCUAGACUCUUCCCAGAGGCCCCACCUCCUAAGACCAUCACAUUGGGGGUUAGGCUGUCAACCACAUGGACUGGGGUGGGGGGACAUUGGGUCCAUAACAGCCAGGAACCACCAGAAGCUAGAAGAAGCAAGGAAGGACCCUCCCCCAGAGACGUCAGAGGGAGCGUGGCCAUCGUGCUCCCUUGAUUUUGAACUCUGGCCUCCAAAACUGUGAGAGAAGGAGCGUCUCUUGUUUUCGGCCUCCCAGUUUGUGGCCAUCGGCCCAGCGGCGCCGCUGGAGGAAGCGGACACGAUAAUGAGAUGACUCUGGGUUUUCUCGAUGGGCCCGGCAUCAUCACAAGGGUCCUCACGUGGGGAUGAGAAGAGCUGAAGAUUCAGAACCAGAGAGACGGUGUCCUGUGGGAGAUUUGCAGACUUUGACCAGGGAGGCAGGGGCCAUGAGCCAAGGAAUGGGGACGGCCUCUCCAAGCUCGAGAAGGCGGGGAUACCUGUUUCCCUCCUCCAGAGCCUCCAGAAAGGAAUGCAUUUCUGCCAACACCUUCGUUUUAGCUCAGUGAGGCCCAGUUUGGACUUCUGACCCACAGAACUCUCAGCUGGAAGGUCCUCAGGGUGGGAACCCUGUGUGUCUUCACGGCCCCAGCCCGUGAUACCCGGCCCGGAGCGGGCAUCUGAGUGAAAGAACGGGUGGAAACCAACUGGUCUCUUCACUGUCAACGUGCCGGACUCCUUCAGGCGCCUGCCUGCUGAGACCCUGCGUGGAGCCCAGGCAGGGAGGGCGGGAAGUCGGGAGCUGCCCGCAGGGUCGGGAAGAGUCGCCAUCCUUUUGCUGCCAGCCCCAGGUCCAGUAUGAUCUCCAGGCUGUCGCCAAAUACAAGCUUGGCUCUGUGUGGGAGGCGGCUACCCUUUAGUGAUGCGUAUUUCCAGGGAAUUUGCGCCAAGACAUUGUUCGUUGUUCGAGGUCUGAUGGAAUCAAGCAGAUACCUGCUUCUCUUCAAAAGGUCACCUUUUCAACCUGCUGAGUGGACGGAUUUACACUUUAGAGAGAAGGGAUGGACUUAGCUGACCAGUUCUUACAUAAUCAGCCUGAGAGUCUGAAUAUAAAAAUGACCAACGCCAAAGCAAAUGUAAAGAUAGAACUUUGACCCACAGCUGCCUGCCUAGGACAUCAGCACCGCCCCGCCCCUCCCCUACAGUAAACAGUAAACAACCCGGGAGGCCAGGCAGCUGUAAAUCAGACUUGCAGGAAGCCUCAGUGGGGUUCCUUGCUCCCGUGAGGAUCUACGAAGCUAAAGGGCUUCCGUGACAAUGGACCCAGAAUGACCAGCUCGUGAUUAAGAACUGACAGUGAUUAGGAACUGACAGUGAUUAGGAACUGACAGUGAUUAGGAACUGACAGCUUCCCUAAUUUCUGUCCCCUCUUCCAAUUUAGGACUAGCCAGAGAAAACCAAGUAGGUCCCCCUGAACAAUCACAUAGGACAGCCCCUUGCAGUCAGCCCCCUGCAGCUUCCCGGGGCCAACAGCUUCCAAUCAGGGCACCCCCCCCCCCCGAAGUCUUCCCUUCUUCCAGUGCAAGCCUUCCCCACCCUGACUGCCUUGAAUCUUGGCCCAAAUGCAAGUGACCCUGGCCCCUCUCCUUGGCUCUAGCAUAUUCGCAAGGAACGGCCUUUGCUUUUCUCUGUUGGUGGGUCUUUAUUUCCACAUCGAACCUAGAAGACUGGUGAGGUUUAAGUACGUGUGCCCAUGUGCAUGGGAGGCACUGAAUUCAAUGUUAUUUUAAAAAUCAGGGCGCUUGGGUGGCUCAGUUGGUUGAGUGUCUGCCUUCAGCUCAAGGGGUGAUCCCAGGGUCCUGGGAUCAAGUCCCACAUCCUAGCUCAGUGGGGAGCCUGCUUCUCCCUCUCCCACUCCCCCUGCUUAUGUUCCCUCUCUCACUGUAUCUCUCUCUGUUAAAUAAAUAAACAAAUCUUAAAUACAUACAAACAUACAUACCACUUUCAUUUUGCAGCUGACCGAAUUUUAAAUCCCGGAUUCUUUGGCAAAGAUCUCAGGAAAAGUUGUGUCUGAGCAAAGGCAGGCACUUUCCCAGAAAGAGCUAUACUCCCAAAGGGCACGGUUGAAACUUUGCAGCGUGAUCUUCAAAGCGUGGCCUCUGCUUUUGUUCGCACACAUGUGGCCCAGAAGGAGGGGCAGCGCCUGCUUCCAGGGGUGAGCCGAGGGCUGACCGCGGCCCCCCACUGCAGGCUUCAAGCUGGGGAGGCCACAGGUCUUUAUCUGUUCCUAGAAAGCUCUGUGACAGUGACAAACUGUGCAAGGCUCCUAACGAAACCCCAGAGGCUCCUGGUGCCACAUGGGAGAAACGCAGAGAGGGGUCUGGGGUCUGAUGGGGAAGGCGAAGUCUCUGAGACGUGGUAGUUGCUGGGAGGGAGGGGGGAGGGGGCGGGUAGUCAACCUCCAAAAUGGAAUCUGGGCACCCGUGACCGGAAGAAAUAAAGACAGCCUUCCAAUAAAUCAGCUGUGGCCAAGUACGUAAGAUUUUUAUUAAAAAUUUAAAAUCUCACCGUGGCCUUUAAGCCAACCAGAUUUAGAGUUAUGACUUCCUGCACGAGGCCUUGUUAACCUAGAGUUGGGGGUCCGGCUAUGUAGGCAUUGGAGACCCGGCCGCUCCCUGGCCUGGGAAUCCUGAGGGCCUGGGACCCUGGUGAGUGAUCCGAUCCCGGCUUUCCGGAGGGGGGGGGUCCGCACCCCCAGCCAUCGGACGCCGUCCCCACCCCACUGUGGUCCCACCCUGUGUUCCUGGGUCCCAGACGCCCUCCCUGCUCUUCUCCAUCCCAGGGAGGCUGCCCAACCUCACCAAAGCUCUCCGAGCUGAAGGCUCUGUCAUUGUCACAUUAGUGACUCCGCGUUUCCCUUCGGCUGGGCAAAUUUUUUCAGGCAGGUGAAGCUCCAAGUUCAGCCCCUGCGCUCAGGUUUCCAGCACGGGCGCCACUUCAGGCGUCUGUCAACUCCUGUGUUUUAUCAUUAAGACUGCCAUUUUCCCGGCUGGGGUUCAAGUCCUAACUCCCCAUCCCCCGCUUACUCACGCACGCCCUCCAUGUGCAGAGGGGCAGGGCUAAGCUCGUACUUCUUUGGGGUGAUGAGAGAUUUAAAUGAGUCCGUGUACAGUGGGGCGCCCAGCACCGAGCAGGCCCGCAGGCAUCUUUGCUGUGAGUACACCAGUCUGUUCGUGCUGGGGAGGACAGAGGCGCGCAGUGGUGGAAAGUUCUCUUGGACUUUGAGGGCUGCAGACAGAGCCUAAUGUGGCCCUCCCAGGUCAAAGAGAAGCAAGAUGGCAACAAUUAUGCAGUAGCUGAGAAAACUGUGCCUGAGAAUCAGUGAGAUGCCCCUGGACAGCCUUGGUGGAACUUGGAGAUGUCUCGAGUGGUGGCAGAGUCCAGCCUUGGGUUUUCUUUUUUUUUUUUUUCAUUUUUUUUUAAAGAUUUUAUUUAUUUAUUUAAUAGAAAGAGAGAUCACAAGUAGGCAGAGAGGCAGGCAGAGAGAGAGGGGGGAAGCAGGCACCCCGCUGAGCAGAGAGCCCACUGCGGGGCUCGAUCCCAGGACCCUGAGACUGUGACCUGAGCCAAAGGCAGAGGCUUAACCCACUGAGCCACCCAGGCAACUACCGGCCUUGGGUUUUCUGAAACUGUGGCCCCACUUUGAUGGUGGCCCCACUGGACAGCAGGGCAAUGCCUUUAGGGUUCCGGCCAUCAAGGAGGCCUUCGAGGGAUGCGCCAGCCCCGCCGAAGGCCCAGCUGCCCUCCUUCCUGGCAGAGCCUCCUUGAUGCCAGCGCUGGCUGCGCGGUUUGGGGGGCCCCCGUGUACAAUGGAAAAACGGGCCUCUUGUUCAGAAAGGAGGAAAAAGUGCCAUUACAGACAUUCACAAAGCUUUUCUCUACCUUCUAGAGCCUGACUGGACACUUUUGGUUUGUUACUUAAUGCUGUGUCCCCUUGGGCCUGAGGAUACUCAGAGGACAAGUAUGGACUGUCAGAUCCCCCUCUUGCCAUAGUGGGGACCACGGUGCCCUGGCUGGGGGCCGGAAGUCAAUCUCUCCUUCCCGUGGGCCUGCCGCCCCAGCCCACAGUGGAUGGGGAACCCCAAGGGAAUGCAACUUGGUGCCUGGAUAGGGGGGUAGGCAAAGGGACGCCCCCACCGAGUCAAGCACACCAUGGCUUAGGCAGCCCAGGGCAAAGACAGUUGCCACUGUGUCCCCCCUUAGACCUCUGCUGGGAACAGAGGGUUAUAGCAACAUACUAGCCUCCCCUACAUCCCCCUGCCAUCAGCAUGACUGAGUCACCAGCCUGGGCUGAGGGCAGAGCAGGCUGGGGUGGGGAGGGGGAGGUCAGGGGGCAGGUAGCUGAGAACCUUCUAGUCCAGAGGCGGGGACUGCCUACGGCCCACACUUCCAUUGUCCCGUCGGACUUCACUUAUAAAACACAGACUCGUAGGUGAAAUUGUUAAGAAUUUCAAGAUAGUGACCUUGGAGCAUGAAACUAGAUACAGGCCCUUCUGAGUUGACCUGGCUGCCCUGGGUAUGUGCCCAUGAAGCUGACCCUGACACCCAGCCCCUCGGGCUCCUUCGCCCUCUGUGCACCCCUCCGUCAUGGGCUACAAGUCUUUAUGCUGUGAGCAGAGCUGCACAGAAAUGGAACUGAAAAUGGCCUACUGAUUCCAUCUUACUCCCAAGUCCCCACUCUCAUGAGGACCAGAAAAAGAAAAAAAAAAUUAAAACACCGUGAACUUGCUAAUAAAA
Molecule: long non-coding RNA, 8328 nt
Organism: Mustela lutreola (European mink)
Lineage: Eukaryota; Metazoa; Chordata; Mammalia; Carnivora; Mustelidae
Exons: 9
Source: RefSeq, a predicted model, not a curated record